CUCUGGGUGGUCUAGUUGGUUCAUGGCGUUCGGCUGUAAUGGAUAACAUCUCACCGAAAUGUCGGCGGUUCGACUCCGUCCCCGGAGA
RNAcentral lists this transfer RNA (88 nucleotides) under Trichoderma harzianum. RNAcentral describes it as "tRNA-Tyr". It matches the Rfam family "tRNA". From Rfam's summary of the family: Transfer RNA (tRNA) molecules are approximately 80 nucleotides in length. Their secondary structure includes four short double-helical elements and three loops (D, anti-codon, and T loops). RNAcentral also lists the same sequence under 3 other names. The record is from RNAcentral. Lineage: Eukaryota; Fungi; Ascomycota; Sordariomycetes; Hypocreales; Hypocreaceae.